This is a long non-coding RNA of Silurus meridionalis, 381 nucleotides long. RefSeq lists it as uncharacterized. The record is from RefSeq and is a predicted model, not a curated record. NCBI's taxonomy places the organism in Eukaryota, Metazoa, Chordata, Actinopteri, Siluriformes, Siluridae. The transcript is spliced from 4 exons.
AAGGAAAAAAAGCACUUCACAUUGAUUCAUUGAAAAUGACACGUAUAUGGGAGGGAAGGGGCUCAAGAUUAAAGGUGGGCAUCCAGCACAGAUGCACGCUGUUGUCAGGAAGAUGCCAUCUCAUGUGGGAUAUUUGUCCUGAAAUAUGCAGAGGAACUACUGCCAGAGGAGCCUCUGACAUUCACUACCAACACUGCAGCAGUAAAUCUGUAUCGAAGACAGAGUGCGAUGACCCUGAUCAAUGAGACUGUGUGUUCAGGAGCCCGAUCCCAUCAAGUCCUACAGCUGUGCGGCAUGCACAUUUUAAGAUUCUCCUCCCUUCACCUUUUAUUAUUCAAUAUUUAUAUUUUAGUAUUAAAGUUACCAUUCAAAUAAAUAAGU